This 459-nucleotide ribosomal RNA is filed under the name uncultured soil bacterium. Its description in RNAcentral is "bacterial SSU rRNA". It matches the Rfam family "Bacterial small subunit ribosomal RNA", at positions 63 to 519 of the family's 1533-position model. The record is from RNAcentral.
CGGACGGGAUUGGAGAGCUUGCUUUCCAUGAGAGUGGCGCACGGGUGCGUAACACGUAUGUAGCCUACCCUUGUCAGGGGGAUAGCCUCUCGAAAGAGAGAUUAAGACCGCAUAACAUUAUAAUGUGGCAUCACAAAGUAAUCAAAUAUUUAUAGGACAAGGAUGGGCAUGCGGAACAUUAGCUAGUUGGUAAGGUAACGGCUUACCAAGGCUACGAUGUUUAGGGGAUCUGAGAGGAUGACCCCCCACACUGGUACUGAGACACGGACCAGACUCCUACGGGAGGCAGCAGUAAGGAAUAUUGGUCAAUGGGCGGAAGCCUGAACCAGCCAUGCCGCGUGCAGGAAGACGGCCCUACGGGUUGUAAACUGCUUUUGCAGGGGAAUAAACCUUGGUAUGUAUACCAGGCUGAAUGUACUCUGAGAAUAAGGAUCGGCUAACUCCGUGCCAGCAGCCGCG